Molecule: ribosomal RNA, 449 nt
Filed under: uncultured bacterium
Lineage: Bacteria
Description: partial 16S ribosomal RNA
Rfam family: Bacterial small subunit ribosomal RNA
Source: RNAcentral
AACGAACGCUGGCGGCAUGCCUAAUACAUGCAAGUCGAACGAGAUCUUCGGGUCUAGUGGCGCACGGGUGCGUAACGCGUGGGAAUCUGCCCUUGGGUUCGGGAUAACAGUUGGAAACGACUGCUAAUACCGGAUGAUGUCUUCGGACCAAAGAUUUAUCGCCCAAGGAUGAGCCCGCGUAGGAUUAGCUUGUUGGUGAGGUAAGAGCUCACCAAGGCGACGAUCCUUAGCUGGUCUGAGAGGAUGAUCAGCCACACUGGGACUGAGACACGGCCCAGACUCCUACGGGAGGCAGCAGUGGGGAAUAUUGGACAAUGGGCGAAAGCCUGAUCCAGCAAUGCCGCGUGAGUGAUGAAGGCCUUAGGGUUGUAAAGCUCUUUUACCCGGGAUGAUAAUGACAGUACCGGGAGAAUAAGCCCCGGCUAACUCCGUGCCAGCAGCCGCCGCAG